UCUUUGAUUCAUGUUUAAUAACAAAAGAUAAACACGAACACUACAAAAAAAACAAUAAACGCGGAAAACCAAAAACAGCCCAAACACAGAGACAGGAACAAUCACCCACAAACACACUAGUGAAACCCAGGCUACCUAAAUAUGGUUCCCAAUCAGAGACAAUGACUAACACCUGCCUCUGAUUGAGAACCAUAUCAGGCCAGACAUAGAAAUAGACAAACUAGACAUCCAACAUAGAAUGCCCACUCAGAUCACACCCUGACCAACCGAAACAUAGAAAGAUACAAAGCAAACUAUGGUCAGGGUGUGACACAUACUGUGUAAACAACAGGUGUAGACUAACAGUGAAAUGCUUACUUACAGGCCCUUUUCCAACAAUGCAGAGAGAAAGAAAAUAGAGAAAUAAUAGAAAAGUAAAGCAUGUAAUAAUAAAUACACAAUGAGUAACGAUAACUUGGCUCUAUACACAGAGUACCAGUACUGAGUCAAUGAUAACAUGGCUCUAUACACAGAGUACCAGUACUGAGUCAACGAUAACAUGGCUCUAUACACAGAGUACCAGUACUGAGUCAAUGAUAACAUGGCUCUAUACACAGAGUACCAGUACUGAGUCAAUGAUAACAUGGCUCUAUACACAGAGUACCAGUACUGAGUCAAUGAUAACAUGGCUCUAUACACAGAGUACCAGUACUGAGUCAAUGAUAACAUGGCUCUAUACACAGAGUACUAGUACUGAGUCAAUGAUAACAUGGCUCUAUACACAGAGUACCAGUACUGAGUCAAUGAUAACAUGGCUCUAUACACAGAGUACCAGUACUGAGUCAAUGAUAACAUGGCUCUAUACACAGAGUACUAGUACUGAGUCAAUGAUAACAUGGCUCUAUACACAGAGUACCAGUACUGAGUCAAUGAUAACAUGGCUCUAUACACAGAGUACCAGUACUGAGUCAAUGAUAACAUGGCUCUAUACACAGAGUACCAGUACUGAGUCAACGAUAACAUGGCUCUAUACACAGAGUACCAGUACUGAGUCAAUGAUAACAUGGCUCUAUACACAGAGUACCAGUACUGAGUAACGAUAACUUGGCUCUAUACACAGAGUACCAGUACCGAGUCAAUGAUAACAUGGCUCUAUACACAGAGUACCAGUACUGAGUAACGAUAACUUGGCUCUAUACACAGAGUACCAGUUUGUAAGUUAUCUUGUACAUAAUUGUUGCUGUUACCAUCUCUUAUGACCGAAAAGAGCUUCUGGAAAUCAGAACAGCGAUAAACUCACCUCAGAUUAAACAAAUAUUUUUUUCUUUAAUGAGUCCUACGUGAAGGAUAUACUGCUUCUCCGAGACUAGGCCCAAAUCCCCGUCAUCUGUUACCAACAGAUGCAUAUCAUGUGAAAUCUAUAGACUAGGCCCAAAUCCCCAUCAUCUGUUACCAACAGCUGCAUAUCAUGUGAAAUCUAUAGACUAGGCCCAAAUCCCCAUCAUCUGUUACCAACAGCUGCAUAUCAUGUGAAAUCUAUAGACUAGGCCCAAAUCCCCAUCAUCUGUUACCAACAGCUGCAUAUCAUGUGAAAUCUAUAGACUAGGCCCAAAUCCCUGUCAUCUGUUACCACCAGCUGCAUAUCAUGUGAAAUCUAUAGACUAGGCCCAAAUCCCCAUCAUCUGUUACCAACAGCUGCAUAUCAUGUGAAAUCUAUAGACUAGGCCCAAAUCCCCGUCAUCUGUUACCAACAGAUGCAUAUCAUGUGAAAUCUAUAGACUAGGCCCAAAUCCCUGUCAUCUGUUACCAACAGAUGCAUAUCAUGUGAAA
Oncorhynchus keta (chum salmon) is the source of this 1809-nucleotide long non-coding RNA. RefSeq lists it as uncharacterized. NCBI's taxonomy places the organism in Eukaryota, Metazoa, Chordata, Actinopteri, Salmoniformes, Salmonidae. The record is from RefSeq and is a predicted model, not a curated record. The transcript is spliced from 2 exons.